RNAcentral lists this ribosomal RNA (264 nucleotides) under Clostridium butyricum. RNAcentral's name for it is "partial 23S ribosomal RNA". It matches the Rfam family "Bacterial large subunit ribosomal RNA", at positions 2228 to 2492 of the family's 2925-position model. Lineage: Bacteria; Bacillati; Bacillota; Clostridia; Eubacteriales; Clostridiaceae. The record is from RNAcentral.
GGAUGCCAUGAAACUGGUGACAGGACAUUGUUAGGUGGGCAGUUUGACUGGGGCGUCGCCUCCUAAAAUGUAACGGAGGCGCCCAAAGGUUCCCUCAGAACGGUUGGAAAUCGUUCGUAGAGUGUAAAGGCAUAAGGGAGCCUGACUGCGAGACCUACAAGUCGAGCAGGGACGAAAGUCGGGCUUAGUGAUCCGGUGGUACCUCGUGGGAGGGCCAUCGCUCAACGGAUAAAAGCUACCUCGGGAUAACAGGCUGAUCUCCCC